UACGAAGGGGGCUAGCGUUGUUCGGAAUCAUUGGGCGUAAAGAGCGUGUAGGCGGCUCGGUAAGUCCGCUGUGAAAGUCCAGGGCUCAACCCUGGAAUGCCAGUGGAAACUGUCGAGCUAGAGUCCGGAAGAGGCGAGUGGAAUUCCUGGUGUAGCGGUGAAAUGCGCAGAUAUCAGGAGGAACACCAAUGGCGAAGGCAGCUCGCUGGGACGGUACUGACGCUGAGACGCGAAAGCGUGGGGAGCAAACAGG
This 253-nucleotide ribosomal RNA is filed under the name uncultured bacterium. Its description in RNAcentral is "partial 16S ribosomal RNA". It matches the Rfam family "Bacterial small subunit ribosomal RNA", at positions 524 to 776 of the family's 1533-position model. The record is from RNAcentral.